This 1170-nucleotide ribosomal RNA is filed under the name Triticum aestivum (bread wheat). Its description in RNAcentral is "partial small subunit ribosomal RNA". Lineage: Eukaryota; Viridiplantae; Streptophyta; Magnoliopsida; Poales; Poaceae. The record is from RNAcentral.
AUGGUCAUCGGGCACGUGAGUGCCGCAAUGCCUGGCGUCCCCUCAGCUUUUUGGGAAGUCCUACUCUGUCACCAUUGCCUCGCCUCCCAGUCCAGCAGCAACAAGCUCCAGCUCCUCACAAGCACCAGAAAGAAGCCUCGUCCCUCUCGGAAGACGUUUGGUCGUGAUUCUUGGGCAUCAAUCGUUGCUUCUCCUGUUGGCUCCGUGUCCUCGGCGGAUAUCCCAGUGCGGCCUGCCUUGGAGAGGCAGGCCGAGUUGCUGCGCUCUGAGCUCCUUGGUAUGGCUUCCUUCCGGGUUGAGGAGACGGUCCAGCCUCUGCGUGAUGUCAUUGACUCCAUGCAAGGUUGGAUGUUGCGGAUGGAGAGCUUCAUUAUGCGAGCUGAGGCUACACUGGGCGCGCUCUCGCUAGCACCGCCUGUGUUGCAGAACGCUCAUGUGUUGCGCCCUCUGGUUGUGCCUGAUGACAGCUUCGAGAUCGAGAGGGGAGUUGAGCUUCAUGGUCGUUUCUCCCCUCGUUCUAGAACCAACUCGCCGUCGUCAACCUCUGGGGGAUUGGGCAAUGAUGUGGUUGUGACUCCGGUCCUGCAGAUCAUGCCUGAGCUUCGAGACCUGUGUGGGGGUCCGGUUCUACCUCGGUCCGUCGAACAACUGAAGGUAGACACCCCUGAGGUCUCGAUUGUGGCUUUACCGCCAGCAUCACCCCGGGAGUCUAGCCAGAAACUUGAUGCCGAGGAGUGUGGUGAUUUAGACCUUGCAAUCUCUUGCUCGUCGUCCAUUGGGUGUCAGGCGUCAGCCAGUCUACCUCUCGGUGUCAUGGAGCGCGGAGUUUUGGAUGUUGCUACCCUUCCCUCAUCCGCGACCAUUGAGCAGGUGAUGCCUGUUGACAUGACCAUUGAGGCAAGUGUGUUGGCACCUACUCCAAAGCCAGAUGCUCUCUUCGCGAAGGAACUUUGUGAUUUGCUCGCUAGUGCGGAGGUUGCUAGACCUGGUUUGGGCAGGUCGAUUGCUUGCCUCUUGACGGGGACACCAAUAAGGGGUAAACAAAAGAAGGCGGGCAAAGAAAAGAGUGGCGCCACAAGCAAGGCGUCUCUGGGUGCUCGAUGGAUGACCUACUCUCUCUCAGCAUGUCCUCUUGGAUUGGGUUAUCAUUGUGGGUUGAAAGGUGUUUGA